GAUGAACGCUGGCGGCGUGCUUAACACAUGCAAGUCGAACGAAGACAUCUGAGUGCUUGCACUUGGAUGGACUGAGUGGCGGACGGGUGAGUAACGCGUGGGUAACCUGCCUUAUACAGGGGGAUAACAGUUGGAAACGACUGCUAAUACCGCAUAAGCGCACGGUAUCGCAUGAUACAGUGUGAAAAACUCCGGUGGUAUAAGAUGGACCCGCGUCUGAUUAGCUUGUUGGUGAGGUAACGGCCCACCAAGGCGACGAUCAGUAGCCGGCCUGAGAGGGUGAACGGCCACAUUGGGACUGAGACACGGCCCAAACUCCUACGGGAGGCAGCAGUGGGGAAUAUUGCACAAUGGGGGAAACCCUGAUGCAGCGACGCCGCGUGAGUGAUGAAGUAUUUCGGUAUGUAAAACUCUAUCAGCAGGGAAGAUAAUGACGGUACCUGACUAAGAAGCACCGGCUAAAUACGUGCCAGCAGCCG
RNAcentral lists this ribosomal RNA (479 nucleotides) under uncultured bacterium. RNAcentral's name for it is "bacterial SSU rRNA". It matches the Rfam family "Bacterial small subunit ribosomal RNA", at positions 28 to 517 of the family's 1533-position model. The record is from RNAcentral.